UCUUAUCUAGAGAGGUGGAGGGACUGGCCCUUGGAAGCCUCGGCAACAGCUCCAAGGAGUAAUGUGCCAAUUCCAGUAGCGAUUAUGCUAACAGAUAAGA
This 100-nucleotide non-coding RNA is filed under the name Gracilibacillus phocaeensis. RNAcentral's name for it is "SAM riboswitch (S box leader)". It matches the Rfam family "SAM riboswitch aptamer (S box leader)". From Rfam's summary of the family: The SAM riboswitch is found upstream of a number of genes which code for proteins involved in methionine or cysteine biosynthesis in Gram-positive bacteria. The SAM riboswitch acts at the level of transcription termination control. The record is from RNAcentral. Lineage: Bacteria; Bacillati; Bacillota; Bacilli; Caryophanales; Bacillaceae.